UCAUCAGAGUAUGCUUGCCCUUUUCUUUCUUAGAUUCUUGUUUAGGUGAUAUGUACCAACAGAAGAAAGUGAGUUCUGAAAUUCUGGUUUAGAUGCAUUUUCAAACUUAGAAAUAGUUGGCGUGAUCUUGCUGGGAUAGCUUUUUCAUAGAUCACUGAAAAGUUGGUGGAAUUUUCCUUCAUUUUCUAGUUGAAACAUUUAAUUAAGUUCGGAAUAUGCAAGUUUCAAAGAGCUUUCAUGAUAGAGUUGGAACCAAACCAAAAAAAAAUUAGAGUAGCAGCUGUAAUAAUUAACCUUGCUGCAGAGGCACCUUUUCCUCUGUUCUUUUUGUUAUCAGAAAUAUCUAGGGAUUUGUCUUGACAGUCUUAUUGAUAUUAUCUUUAUAUCUUGUAUGCCAAUAUGCAGUUUGUUUUGGCCUUCACAAUUAUGUGGGGAUUCUCUUUGAUACUUCUCUUGAUAUAUCUGUUUGUGAUAUGACAUUGUUCUCUUUUGUUAGCCAACUCAUGAGUAGCAUUUCCUCUCUAAAUGAACAUGUUAUUUCUAUUAUUCUAACAUGCUGUAUGAAAAUUUAUUUGGAUUGUAAUGACAUCCUUUUUUGUUCUUGACUUCUUAUCCAGUAUUGAUGUAUGUUCGACAAUUCGAACUUAAUGCCCAUAUUGCAUCCCCUAGCUUGUCUUCCUAUAGAUGUUUUUCCUAUUUGUAGGCAGUUAGAAAUUUCUACUUGGUUCCUUUCUAAAGCAAGUUAAGAAAUGAAGCUACCUGUGCACUCUAUGAGGUUUCAUGAAUUUAGGCAGUCUGUUCCACCAACUGAGUUUUUAACCAUUGUUUUUUUGGCCCUUUCCUAGCAUGCAUAUUAGUGGAUGUAUUCCUAGUAUGCAAUGUAAAACUUAAAAUAAAAAUAUCCUUCUUUGAGAAUAAGUUCUCUUUAAUUUUCAUAUUAUGAUAAAUUAAUAACACAAAUUCCUACUUACAUGUGGUCUUAUACCAUCAAAUUUUCUACUUAGCAAUUCUGGUAUUUGAAUAUGGAACUUUAUUAGCUUCUUGUGUAUCACUUCUAAAGGACAUCAUAUCACAGGUAAAUUCUAAAGGAUACGUUUGAUAUGCUUGUUUAAGUUGAUUACAUAUGAUUUUUCUUCUUCAUUGCAAGUUACUUUUAUAUGAGAUAUACAUUUUCAGUAAUAUAUAUAUUCUGCAUUGCUGAUAACGCACAUGUCAAGCAUACAAUUUUUACUUUAAGCCUCUUCUCAAGUGCAACGAGAAAGCCACAUAUAAACAUAGCUAAGUGAUGCUCAAAAUUGCUUGCAUGAUGCUCUUUGAGGAGACAUUGAUAAGCGAAGAGGAGGAAGAAGCACUACUUGAUCAGAAUAUGGAGGAUUAAGAUGCAGAAUAUAGAAAAAUAAAAGUCCAUGGCUGCAUAUAUCAAGAGAGAGGUUUGUUCUGCCUUGGUGCAACUUAUAGAAGUUCGACCAUCAUUCCUAGAGUGCCUUUUCAGAUAUUUUUGAAGGUGAAUGGAGGUAUUCAAAAACUCCAGCUAAAUAGCUCGGGUAUGGAUAAUUACAGGAGCAACAACUACAUGCUAUGUGGCACUGCAUCCGAACAUCAUGGGUGUGAUUGGGAAGUACUUCGACGAAGAACUAUCAAGAAGGUUUUGGGAUUUAAGUGAGAAUAUGGUUAAAGUCAAUGAGUAAAGAACAUUCAAGUCAAGAGGAUAAGUAGCAUCUAUAAAGAUCCUUUAAGUUCAUACAAUAAGAUGUAGAUGAUAGAAGUUUUCAGUAUCUCCUAAUUAAAAUUUCUUUGUAUGCAAGUAAUUAUGCUUGUUAUAAAGUGUAUGAAUGAUAAUUUAUAUAUUUAUCUUGGUUGUUUAUUUAAUAAUAUGUCGUUGAUUGAAGUA
Zingiber officinale is the source of this 1891-nucleotide long non-coding RNA. RefSeq lists it as uncharacterized. The record is from RefSeq and is a predicted model, not a curated record. Lineage: Eukaryota; Viridiplantae; Streptophyta; Magnoliopsida; Zingiberales; Zingiberaceae. The transcript has 3 exons.